GGUACGUGUUCCGGAUGUGGGGUGAGCGGUUGGAAAACGACGCCAUGCAACACGCAAACGUAAACACUGCGUAGAAAUGGGACACUAGAACGCAAACUACAGCUUGCGUUUACUCCCAUUACAAGUGUGACAUGUCAGUCUGCGCUUAAGGAUUGAUACAGAGGUAUUUUAGUGGGGAAGAUGACCAAGCUAAGUGGUGGUGGAAUGCUGUAGCUGACAGAAAGGGACCCGACCAACACUUAGGGAAAGAAGAAGGUUGUGACCCUAUCUACUCUGUGUAUUCUGACUAUGCAUACCGUGGUGACCGGACGUGGUGCCUGCGUGGUAUAUGUGUGGGGUUCUGUGGUGGACUGGUGUUAUUAGGUUGAGGGGCAGCCUGUUGCUUGGACACACUCUAAGGUGGAUAUCUGGCCACCUGUGUAGAUUGGUGGCUUCAAGGACAUUGUAUACUAAGAUGGAUAGCUGCCCAUUGAUAUGAUGUUCUCUGUAUAAAUACAUGUAAUUAACUGUGUGAAUGUGAGUGUGGAUGUAAUAUACUUUUGUUCUUAAUAUAUGUGGGAAUUAAAUAUUGUAAAUAAUGUAAA
Molecule: long non-coding RNA, 584 nt
Organism: Mizuhopecten yessoensis (Yesso scallop)
Lineage: Eukaryota; Metazoa; Mollusca; Bivalvia; Pectinida; Pectinidae
Exons: 2
Source: RefSeq, a predicted model, not a curated record